AGGUGAUGUGUCCUUACCUUUAUCAAUGGAUAUACUCGGCUGUGCUGUGGGUUGAAUGACCUUAGACGCGUUUUGUUGUCAGGAGUGUGGCGUGAGGUGGGGUUAGAUGCCCU
Virgibacillus sp. SK37 is the source of this 113-nucleotide regulatory RNA element. It matches the Rfam family "epsC RNA". The record is from Rfam. NCBI's taxonomy places the organism in Bacteria, Bacillati, Bacillota, Bacilli, Caryophanales, Bacillaceae.